UACGUAGGGUGCAAGCGUUAAUCGGAAUUACUGGGCGUAAAGCGUGCGCAGGCGGUUAUGUAAGACAGAUGUGAAAUGCCCGGGCUUAACCUGGGAACUGCAUUUGUGACUGCAUGGCUAGAGUGUGUCAGAGGGGGGUAGAAUUCCACGUGUAGCAGUGAAAUGCGUAGAUAUGUGGAGGAAUACCGAUGGCGGAGGCAGCCCCCUGGGAUAACACUGACGCUCAUGCACGAAAGCGUGGGGAGCAAACAGG
This 253-nucleotide ribosomal RNA is filed under the name uncultured bacterium. Its description in RNAcentral is "partial 16S ribosomal RNA". It matches the Rfam family "Bacterial small subunit ribosomal RNA", at positions 524 to 776 of the family's 1533-position model. The record is from RNAcentral.